RNAcentral lists this ribosomal RNA (452 nucleotides) under Pseudoramibacter alactolyticus. Its description in RNAcentral is "bacterial SSU rRNA". It matches the Rfam family "Bacterial small subunit ribosomal RNA", at positions 28 to 480 of the family's 1533-position model. The record is from RNAcentral. Lineage: Bacteria; Bacillati; Bacillota; Clostridia; Eubacteriales; Eubacteriaceae.
GACGAACGCUGGCGGUAUGCUUAACACAUGCAAGUCGAACGAGAAGUUUUUUAUUGAACCUUCGGGGGAUAUAAGAGACAGACAGUGGCGAACGGGUGAGUAACGCGUGGGCAACCUACCUAUCGGAGCGGGAUAGCCUCGAGAAAUCGGGAGUAAAACCGCAUAACAAGGAUAUAUCGCAUGAUGAAUCCGUCAAAACUCCGGUGCCGAUAGAUGGGCCCGCGUCUGAUUAGCUAGUUGGUAAGGUAAGGGCUUACCAAGGCAACGAUCAGUAGCCGGUCUGAGAGGGCGAACGGCCACACUGGAACUGAGACACGGUCCAGACUCCUACGGGAGGCAGCAGUGGGGAAUAUUGCGCAAUGGGGGCAACCCUGACGCAGCAAUACCGCGUGAGUGAAGAAGGUUUUCGGAUCGUAAAGCUCUGUUAUUGGGGAAGAAGCAGGACGGUACCC